This 391-nucleotide long non-coding RNA is filed under the name Homo sapiens (human). RNAcentral describes it as "HSALNT0280176". Lineage: Eukaryota; Metazoa; Chordata; Mammalia; Primates; Hominidae. The record is from RNAcentral.
GAACGGGUUCUCUCUUGUGUCAUAUUGCCUGGAAGGUUGCUAUCUCAUGAAAACCAAAGUAGAAUCUAGUGAUGGCCACGCCUUUGAAAUGGAAAUAGAAAUCUCCAAUGCGGCUUUAGAAGAUGGAACACUGGAAUACUCACGAUGAUUGGGAAGCCUUUCUUCUGAGUAAAUAGUCCACGACAUCAGGAUCGGUCUCUAACAGGCUGAUCAGCACUUCGUUCUGGAGAUCUGGGGGAACCUGAAGGAGCCAAAUGUUGAGGCAUAAAUAAAACCAUUCCAGAAACAGGCAACAUAUGGUCACUGACAAUUUUACUGUAGCACAAAACAGAGCCCUAAAAGCUGCAAGACAGCAGAAUGAUUUGCUGGUUAAAACCAAACCUACGCCAAC